Molecule: ribosomal RNA, 459 nt
Filed under: uncultured bacterium
Lineage: Bacteria
Description: bacterial SSU rRNA
Rfam family: Bacterial small subunit ribosomal RNA
Source: RNAcentral
UGGGGAAUUUUGGACAAUGGGCGCAAGCCUGAUCCAGCCAUGCCGCGUGCGGGAAGAAGGCCUUCGGGUUGUAAACCGCUUUUGUCAGGGAAGAAACGCUCUGGGCUAAUACCCUGGGGUAAUGACGGUACCUGAAGAAUAAGCACCGGCUAACUACGUGCCAGCAGCCGCGGUAAUACGUAGGGUGCAAGCGUUAAUCGGAAUUACUGGGCGUAAAGCGUGCGCAGGCGGUUAUGCAAGACAGAUGUGAAAUCCCCGGGCUCAACCUGGGAACUGCAUUUGUGACUGUAUAGCUAGAGUACGGUAGAGGGGGAUGGAAUUCCGCGUGUAGCAGUGAAAUGCGUAGAUAUGCGGAGGAACACCGAUGGCGAAGGCAAUCCCCUGGACCUGUACUGACGCUCAUGCACGAAAGCGUGGGGAGCAAACAGGAUUAGAUACCCCCGUAGUCCCUGAGCGGGC